UGAUACUCCUCCUCCAUUGCCACUCUAUUUAGCAAUUUACUCUUCUGCUCUCUUUUUUUUUUCUUUCUUUCAAGUUUCACCAUGCAAAGACAGAAAAUAUAAGAAAAUGCUUCAUUUGGUAUUCUUGGUUUUCCUAUAAAAUGAAUAUAUCGACCUAUCCAAGGCUAGUAGCUUGAUUUUUGUAGUGGGUAACUUCAAAAGGAAGAGUCUCUCAAGACCAGGAGUUUGGUUCUCGGCGGUGGGAAAAUGAUUCAU
Arabidopsis thaliana (thale cress) is the source of this 255-nucleotide long non-coding RNA. RefSeq annotates it as other RNA. The record is from RefSeq. The transcript has a single exon. Lineage: Eukaryota; Viridiplantae; Streptophyta; Magnoliopsida; Brassicales; Brassicaceae.